Long non-coding RNA from Beta vulgaris subsp. vulgaris (sugar beet), 359 nucleotides. RefSeq lists it as uncharacterized. NCBI's taxonomy places the organism in Eukaryota, Viridiplantae, Streptophyta, Magnoliopsida, Caryophyllales, Amaranthaceae. The transcript is spliced from 2 exons. The record is from RefSeq and is a predicted model, not a curated record.
UUUUAUUUUUUUUCUUCUUUCUUUCCUUUUGUUAAUUAUUUAUCUUGUAAACUGUGGUUAAUUAUUUUCGAGAUAUUACAUUAAGUGACUAACUUUAGGUAAUAUUAUUUGUUGUAGACGGAAACUUCGUAGAAGACGACUUUUAGUUGAUAUUGCUAUAUUUGGGACGCGUUUGAGGUUGGUGAAAGGGACUACGUUGCAGGAAUGAGUGAAUUUAUAGUUUUUAAGUUCACCUAGUUUAAUAAACACUACAGUACUGCCAUUUGAGAUUGUUUAGUUUUGUUUUGGUAUAAAGUAGACAACUUAGUUUGGUUUAUUUUGAUACUUUGGUUUGUGAGUAAAAUUUUUAUUUCUAAUAA